ACAGUGGACGCGAGCAUCUGUGGCCAAGUUUUUAAGGGCGCACGGUGGAUGCCUUGGCACCAGGAACCGAUGAAGGACGUGGGAGGCCACGAUAGUCCCCGGGGAGCCGUCAACCAGGCUUUGAUCCGGGGGUUUCCGAAUGGGGAAACCCGGCAGUCGUCAUGGGCUGUCACCCAUACCUGAACACAUAGGGUAUGUGGAGGGAACGCGGGGAAGUGAAACAUCUCAGUACCCGCAGGAAGAGAAAACAACCGUGAUUCCGGGAGUAGUGGCGAGCGAAACCGGAUGAGGCCAAACCGUAUACGUGUGAGACCCGGCAGGGGUUGCGUAUGCGGGGUUGUGGGAUCUCUCUUCUGUCGUCUGCCGGCGGCAGGACGAGUCAGAAACCGUUGAUGUAGGCGAAGGACAUGCGAAAGGUCCGGCGUAGAGGGUAAGACCCCCGUAGUCGAAACAUCAGCGGCUCGUUUGAGAGACACCCAAGUAGCACGGGGCCCGAGAAAUCCCGUGUGAAUCUGGCGGGACCACCCGCUAAGCCUAAAUAUUCCCUGGUGACCGAUAGCGGAUAGUACCGUGAGGGAAUGGUGAAAAGUACCGCGGGAGCGGAGUGAAAUAGUACCUGAAACCGUGUGCCUACAAGCCGUGGGAGCGUCGCGCA
RNAcentral lists this ribosomal RNA (655 nucleotides) under Streptomyces sp. MMG1533. RNAcentral describes it as "bacterial LSU rRNA". It matches the Rfam family "Bacterial large subunit ribosomal RNA", at positions 1 to 588 of the family's 2925-position model. The record is from RNAcentral. Lineage: Bacteria; Bacillati; Actinomycetota; Actinomycetes; Kitasatosporales; Streptomycetaceae.